RNAcentral lists this transfer RNA (74 nucleotides) under Dictyoglomus turgidum. Its description in RNAcentral is "tRNA-Val". It matches the Rfam family "tRNA". Rfam says of the family: Transfer RNA (tRNA) molecules are approximately 80 nucleotides in length. Their secondary structure includes four short double-helical elements and three loops (D, anti-codon, and T loops). The record is from RNAcentral. RNAcentral also lists the same sequence under 3 other names. Lineage: Bacteria; Pseudomonadati; Dictyoglomota; Dictyoglomia; Dictyoglomales; Dictyoglomaceae.
GGGCGAUUAGCUCAGUUGGUUAGAGCGCCACCCUUACAAGGUGGAAGUCGGCCGUUCGAGUCGGCCAUCGCCCA